CUGAGUAUUUGUUCCUUGAAUAGGGAAGAUUUCAUUUCAUGAUGCGCAACUCUCUCCUGCGGCUGACACUGCACUUUCGUUGUAAGGGCAGCUUGAGAAUGUGUGUGCCUUUAGUGAACAAUGACUGCUGAGAGUACGCAGACUGUGAUUGCCCAAAUUGCAAAAGUGAAGACUCAGCGGUGACCAGUGCAGACUGACUUAGGAUCAUAAGCCCCAGCUUCUGCCGUAUCUAAGAAGAAUAAUUUCAGUUACAAAGGCAAAAGGGUGACCGCGCAGCAGCACUGGCAAAAAGCUAGAAGGGUAAACGCAAAGCCAGCCUGCAUCCCUGUGCACUGGGAGCCGUGAAGAAGGGACCCAGAAUGGCCCACGUGGCCAGAAAAGGAGACCCAGAAGUAAGAGAAAGCCUGUGGACCAGCGGAGGCAAGGGAUUUAAAAAAGUGUGUGUGCAAGUUCCGAGGACUCUGAGUCCAGGGGUGACUGGCCAGGAUUAAGGAUCCUAGCAGUGCCUGUCAGAAUAUCAGCUGCCCCAAAGCCGGGCUUUAUUCUUCUGUCUUCGCCCGGGAGAUCCCAGCUCAGGACGAGCCUAGGCCAGGCACUCCAGAGCGGGGCCCAGCAAGUCUGCGGAGGACGUGGUGUUAACACAAACAUCUUACGCCUCCCGCUGUGGCUUCGAAGCCACAGGCCCUCCCUGAACACCUAGUCAAGGCCUUGGAGGAGGAGUCAGAGAGGCAGGGGAGGAACGCAGAAGGGGAAGAGACGGCAUUGCUUCCAAAAGUGGCUCAGAUCUUACAGGAAGAGACUGAUUACGUUCCCUGAUGAAUGUAAACUUACCAGAAUGUGAACUGGCGACUGAAAUGAACGCGCAGCCUGAAAGUUGAGAGUUAUGUUUUAUUUGGCGGGAGGACUCCAGCCGGGAUGACGGCCUCUCAGGUCGCUCUCAGGGACUGCUCCCAAGAGGUGGGGGAGGAGCCAGGAUAUACAGGAGCUUUACAGCAAAGACUUAUUCUUAUUAAAAUAACAAUCGAAGUUUUAUCUUCACUAUAAUUUGUUAGUUAGCUUAGUGUGUUGUUUAAUUUUAAAUUCUUGUGUUAAGUAAAUACUUUAUUUCCUUGUUUUUUCCAAUGUAAAUCUUCAAUUAUUCAAACAGUCUUUCUUGUAGAAAACGAGUGAUGACCCGGAGCCCGCAUUACCACAGUGAAAAGUGUGAUCCAGAUUUGCAGCCACUCCAGUCAAAUAAGAGCUCAAAUUUAUCUUUCAGAGGACAUUUGUUGAUUGCCCUGUUCUUUGCCUUCUGUGACAGUGUCCAGAAUUUUACAACAAUAUGGUUUGAAAUUGGAAAUGACCCUGGUCCUUGUGCCCAAGGACCGUGGACCCUCCCAGGCCCGUCUCCUCCCUGGGAGGUUUGUUAGAAAGACCAGGAUGGUGCAGACCGGGACUGGUCAUAAAACAGUCUUUGUAAAGAUACGUAAUCAGAUAUGAUGUAUUUAUCUUUCUAAAAAGCUUGCAAGCAUUUCACCAAAGCGUAACAUUUUUCACCUGAACAGUAAAACAUGUUUUCGUAAAUAUUUUCGCGGUCACUUGGCACUGCGCGAAAGCUGAGACAAGGGUUCAGAGCCCUGGCAACAUGGUCUGUUACAUUUUGCUCUGCUUUCUGCUUUAUCUUAGAGGCGAAGAGUUGAAGCCAGCUAGAAGAGUUGCAGGGGUAAAGCCUCUAAGAUGUAACUGUGGGAACAGACACACUGAUGACUUCUCUCUUCCACGUACGAAAAAGAUCGCAAACAGAACGAAAAUGCUCCCAUUUUGUACCCUUUUCCCCAUGAUGUCCUGAACAAUAAA
This is a long non-coding RNA of Camelus dromedarius (Arabian camel), 1836 nucleotides long. RefSeq lists it as uncharacterized. NCBI's taxonomy places the organism in Eukaryota, Metazoa, Chordata, Mammalia, Artiodactyla, Camelidae. The record is from RefSeq and is a predicted model, not a curated record. The transcript is spliced from 4 exons.